This is a non-coding RNA of Paramuricea clavata, 242 nucleotides long. The record is from the annotation of a GenBank genome assembly. Lineage: Eukaryota; Metazoa; Cnidaria; Anthozoa; Malacalcyonacea; Plexauridae.
UCUAAAUACUAUCCAACAGUGUUCAUAAUUACAAAGUGUACAAACUAUCACUCUAUGUAUUCAAACUAAGCUGCAUGCUAUGUCUGUGUUGAAAUUUUCCAGACAAUACAGCAUAUAUACGACGAGCAAAUUUCUUAUGGACACUGAAGACUUGCCCCAUGCAACACCUUAGUUGUUCGUGUAUAUAACUUUGAACUGAAAAGUUUCAAGUUUUUUCGAAAUCUGGAAUCCGAAGUUUUGGC